GAUAGGGAUGAGCUCCUGAAAAUUUAUUAACCAAAAAUGACCAGCUUUAAAUAUGCAUGAAUAGCCCACAAAUGAUGUGAUGUUUCUAGCAUUUUUAGCUGGUUUUAGAAUAGUGCACCCAUGCUAACCAGCAUAAUAAUACUCCUAACACUCUAUGCAACUGUGUUAAAUCAUCAAAGGCAUAAGGAAAUGAAGCACAAGAAAUAUGCCUAAGAUCAUAAAUUUGAAUAAGUACUAGAGCAAUAUCCAUAGACUGAUUUCAAACAAUUGAAAAACUUUAGGCAACAAUUCUAAGAGGUAACUACACAUAUCCAGUAAUACAACAUAUAUCAAAAUAACAACUAUAAGAUUCAACUUUCAAAAUAAAAGUCUGUGAGAACUUCAAAAAUCACAAUUAACCAUUACAUGUGUUUACAUAAAACAGGAAACAACAAAGCCCUUAUGUAAUAGACUCAUCGAAGCUCUAUGAAAGAUAAAAACAUAAAAAUAACAACAACA
RNAcentral lists this unclassified non-coding RNA (498 nucleotides) under Hevea brasiliensis (rubber tree). The record is from RNAcentral. Lineage: Eukaryota; Viridiplantae; Streptophyta; Magnoliopsida; Malpighiales; Euphorbiaceae.